GGAAGGGUCUAGUCGAUUCAGAAACUCAGACUUUUGUAAUGUUUCUCAACGACUCAUGUAGUAAUUGCUGUAAUCUGUUCUCCAUAGGCUAGCAAGUCAUCUAAGACCAUCUGAAUCAUAGUUUCUGACUAAUAAGCUGAAGUUAAGGUCUGAGCUGAGGCUACCGAGUCAUCUGAAUCAUAAUUUUCUGUCUGAUAAGCCGAGGCGAAGGUCUGAGGCUACCGAGUUAUCUGAAUCAUAGUUUUCCGUCUGAUCAGCUGAGGUAAAGUUCUGAGGCUAGCAAGUCAUCUGAGACCAUCUGAUCAUGAAUCAUAGUUUUCUGUCUGAUAAGCUGAAGUGAAGGUCUGAGCUGAGAGGGCUACUGUCUGUUUUACAAAGGGAAACGAGGCAAGUUAGGUGAUGUUGGUGGAGCUUUGUCGUGUACUCGACUUUGAGCGGUGUUAAUGUGUAAUUUGUUGAUGACGAUACUCGCUGGUGACUGAGAAUUACUAAUUGUCACGAUAUAUCCUUAAAAGUAAUCAAGUGCGAAAAAGAAAGAGCCUGAACGAAAUGGUGACCUGUUUUUGUGAUAUUUGAGAAGUAGCCUGCGAGAAAACUGUCUUUACAGCUCUUCUGAGCAGGGUGGGGUAAGGGAGAGCAAGGAGAACCAGACAGGAUGUGUGAAGGAUUGAUAUAGCUGAUAGUCAUUUGGUGUUUAAAUACUUGCGCCAUAAAGUUGUAUUCGUAAUCAAAGAUGAAAAACUAACAAAAAAUACCAAUUAAUCAAGUAAUUAACACACAGGCGACUUUUCGAAUCCUUUCUCUUACACUGUUGAUCGCGUGUACAAGCCAGAUUAAUAUUAUGAGGUCAUGAGCCAGAGCGCUAAUCUUUCAUGGAAUGAGGGAAAAACCCCUUUUUGAUCAUUUGUAAUUCAACUUUUGGUUUCGUUUUCAGUCAUUUUCCAUACACUGGAAGGUUCUAGUCGAUUCAGAAACUCAAACUUUUCCAAUGUUUCUCAACGACUCGUGUAGUAAUUGCUGUAAUCUGUUCUCCAUAGGCUAACAAGUCAUCUGAGAUCAUCUGAAUCAUGGUUUUCUGUCUGAUCAGCUGAAGUGAAGGUCUGAGCUGAGGCUAGCAAGUUAUCUGAGACCAUCUGAAUCAUAGCUUUCUGUCUGAUCAGCUAAAGUGAAGGUCUGAGCUGAGGUACGUAUUCGAUACAUAAUAGAUGCAUAAUCUUUGUUGACGCAUUUUGAAUCCAUACGCAUUGUCUGUAUUUUAGAUCUGGUUUCUCGUGGGGAAUGAAGUAUUCAAAUUUUGCUUAAUACUUAAAAAUGCUGCUGUUGUAUGUGUUUUUUCUCAACGUUAGUCAAUCAUAUGCAUAAGACAUCCAGAAAUUGGCGACACUGAUCACUUGAUAUCACUGAAGUUUAUUGAAGGUCAUUCAACUUUCCGUACCAAACGUGCUUUCCGACCUCAACUUUAUACCCGAAUAUUCAAUUGUUUCGUAUUCAUUUUUCAAAGGGCGACAGUGUGUUUUUCAAAGGGAAAGGAGGCAAGUCAGGUGAUCUAGCUAAUGAUGGAGCUUUGUGGCGUAUUCGACUUUGAGCGGUGUUAAUGUGUAUUUUGUUGAUGACGUUACUCGCUGGUGACUGAGAAUUGCUAAUUGUCACGAUAUAUCCUUAAAAGUAAUCAAGUGCGAAAAAGAAAGAGCCUGAACGAAAUGGUGGACUGUUUUUGUGAUAUUUGAGAAGUAGCCUGCGAGAAAACUCUCCUUACAGCUCCUCUGAGCAGGGUGGGGUAAGGGAGAGCAAGGAGAACUAGACAGGAUCUGUCAAGGAUUGAUAUAGCUGAUAGUCAUUUGGUGUUUAAAUACUUGCGCCAUAAAGUUGUAUUCGUAAUCAAAAAUGAAAAACUAACCAAAAAUACCAAUUAAUCAAGUAAUUAACACACAGGCGACUUUUCGAAUCCUUUCUCUUACACUGUUGAUCGCGUGUACAAGCCAGAUUAAUAUUAUGAGGUCACGAGCCAGAGCGCUGAUCUUUCAUGGAAUGAGGGAAAAACCCCUUUUUGAUUAUUUGUAAUUCAAGUUUUGGUUUCGCUUUCAGUCAUUUUCCAUGCACCGGAAGGGUCUAGUCGAUUCAGAAACUCAGACUUUUCCAACGUUUCUCAACGACUCGUGUAGUAAUUGCUGUAAUCUGUUCUCCAUAGCCUAGCAAGUCAUCUGAGAUCAUCUGAAUCAUAGUUUUCUGUCUGAUCAGCUGAAGUGAAGGUCUGAGCUGAGGCUAACAAGUCAUCUGAGACCAUCAAUCAUAGUUUUCUUCCUGAUCAGCUGAAAUGAAGGUUUGAGCUGAGGAUUCCGAGUCAUCUGAAUUAUAGUCUUCUGUUCAGCCCAAGUGAAGGCCUGAGUUAAUCUCUCCUCGUUUUCGCCUUAUUGUCCUUGCCGAUGUGAUUGUUAUAAAUCAAGUCAUGGCGGAAAGUGAAAUUAAGUCACGUGAAGCAAGGGUAGAUUUUGAUGAAGAUUUUUUAGCAGGUAAGAAGGCAAAACUGGAAAUAACUUUACAAGCAAUGAAGUAUUUAUCAUUGGU
Molecule: long non-coding RNA, 2565 nt
Organism: Orbicella faveolata
Lineage: Eukaryota; Metazoa; Cnidaria; Anthozoa; Scleractinia; Merulinidae
Source: RefSeq, a predicted model, not a curated record